Molecule: non-coding RNA, 93 nt
Filed under: uncultured Clostridium sp.
Lineage: Bacteria; Bacillati; Bacillota; Clostridia; Eubacteriales; Clostridiaceae
Description: Purine riboswitch
Rfam family: Purine riboswitch aptamer (bases 16-82)
About the family: Riboswitches are metabolite binding domains within certain messenger RNAs that serve as precision sensors for their corresponding targets.
Source: RNAcentral
AUCAGUUAGGAAAGACUCAUAUAGUGGUGAUAAUAUGGUUCACCAGUCUCUACCAGAUAACCACAAAAUAUCUGACUAUGAGGUACUUAUUGU